RNAcentral lists this ribosomal RNA (253 nucleotides) under uncultured bacterium. Its description in RNAcentral is "partial 16S ribosomal RNA". It matches the Rfam family "Bacterial small subunit ribosomal RNA", at positions 524 to 776 of the family's 1533-position model. The record is from RNAcentral.
GACGUAGGAGGCGAGCGUUAUCCGGAUUCACUGGGCGUAAAGCGCAUGUAGGCGGCUGUGCAAGUCGUGUGUUAAAGCCCCUGGCUCAACUGGGGGAGGUCAUGCGAUACUGUGCGGCUGGAGGGCAGUAGAGGCACAUGGAACUCCCGGUGUAGCGGUGGAAUGCGUAGAGAUCGGGAAGAACACCCGUGGCGAAGGCGGUGUGCUGGGCUGCACCUGACGCUGAGAUGCGAAAGUGUGGGGAGCAAACGGG